Molecule: small nuclear RNA, 104 nt
Filed under: Pteropus vampyrus (large flying fox)
Lineage: Eukaryota; Metazoa; Chordata; Mammalia; Chiroptera; Pteropodidae
Source: RNAcentral
GUGCUCACUUUGGCAACACAUAUACUAAAAUUGGAAUGCUAUAGAGAUUAGCAUGGCCCCUGUGCAAGGACGACAUACAAAUUUGUGAAGCAUUCCAUAUUUUA